This 356-nucleotide ribosomal RNA is filed under the name uncultured bacterium. RNAcentral's name for it is "bacterial SSU rRNA". It matches the Rfam family "Bacterial small subunit ribosomal RNA", at positions 8 to 350 of the family's 1533-position model. The record is from RNAcentral.
AGAGUUUGAUCAUGGCUCAGGAUGGACGCUAGCUACAGGCUUAACACAUGCAAGUCGAGGGGAAACGACAUCGAAAGCUUGCUUUUGAUGGGCGUCGACCGGCGCACGGGUGAGUAACGCGUAUCCAACCUGCCCAUCACUUGGGGAUAACCUUGCGAAAGUAAGACUAAUACCCAAUGAUAUCUCUAGAAGACAUCUGAAAGAGAUUAAAGAUUUAUCGGUGAUGGAUGGGGAUGCGUCUGAUUAGCUUGUUGGCGGGGUAACGGCCCACCAAGGGCUACGAUCAGUAGGGGUUCUGAGAGGAAGGUCCCCCACACUUGGAACUGAGACACGGUCCAAACGUCCUACGGGAGGCA